Molecule: ribosomal RNA, 497 nt
Filed under: uncultured bacterium
Lineage: Bacteria
Description: partial 16S ribosomal RNA
Rfam family: Bacterial small subunit ribosomal RNA
Source: RNAcentral
GAUGAACGCUGGCGGCGUGCCUAAUACAUGCAAGUCGAGCGAACAGACGAGGAUCUUGCUCCUCUGACGUUAGCGGCGGACGGGUGAGUAACACGUGGAUAACCUACCUAUAAGACUGGGAUAACUUCGGGAAACCGGCGCUAAUACCGGAUAAUAUAUUGAACCGCAUGGUUCAAUAGUGAAAGACGGUUUUGCUGUCACUUAUAGAUGGAUCCGCGCCGCAUUAGCUAGUUGGUAAGGUAACGGCUUACCAAGGCAACGAUGCGUAGCCGACCUGAGAGGGUGAUCGGCCACACUGGAACUGAGACACGGUCCAGACUCCUACGGGAGGCAGCAGUAGGGAAUCUUCCGCAAUGGGCGAAAGCCUGACGGAGCAACGCCGCGUGAGUGAUGAAGGUCUUCGGAUCGUAAAACUCUGUUAUUAGGGAAGAACAAAUGUGUAAGUAACUAUGCACGUCUUGACGGUACCUAAUCAGAAAGCCACGGCUAACUACGUG